AAAAGGAGACACAUAUGGGUAAGAUUUAUAGAUAAAUCCGUACACGCGUUUAUAUAAAAUAGUGAACCCUCCGGUGAAAUUUUCAAAACCUGGCGCCUGUGUAUAUGAUUAUGAUAUUACUGUUUCGGCUAUAGUUUUAGGUUUAAAAAUGGAUUCCGUGAGACAUUGUAAUAAUUGUACCUACACCUAUUAUACACGUUUGCUCUGUGCAAUUACUAACCUUAACGGUCACACGGCGAAAAGAAAAUUUAUGCAAUCGGGUCAAGUAUGUUACAUAAUGAUAUGGGCGUAUUACACUCCAGCGUGUGUACGCCGCAGCGUCGGUGUGGGUGUAAAUAAAUGGCGACUGGGUCCAAGUGCUGAUGCUGCUGCGAACGGUGUCACGCUCGAUCUCGCCGGCACAGUAAUUCGUCCCUCUCGCGAAACCCUAGCGCCCGUUCGACGAAACCUCUCUCCGCGAGCAACGUCCAAAUGGUCUCGCCGUCACUCGAAAGAAAUAAAAUCCCGAGUACGCAAUUUUCAUUAUAAUCGUAUACGCUGUUAUUACAUUUUGCUAAGCCGCGAAAUUCGCGUUCUCCUCUCGAGGAUUCCAAUUAUUGUUACACGUUUUGCCAGCGGCGUUCUCCGGGAUAUUUUUAACGGGCAAGAGUGUGGCAGGGCGCUAGACUGAAAAACCUCGGUUUAAACAAAAAUUGUUUCGCAAAACACACAACUAUACGCAGUGGGUAAAAUGACGUGUACUUGGUCCAAUAAGAAGUGCAAAUAAUGCGCAAUUGUUAUUAUUUUUUAUUAGUAAUAAUUUCUCAACGCUAAGUGGGUGACAAUAUUAUUUCGUAUAGUUUUGUAUUUAACACGACCAGGAUGGGGGGGGGGGUUGUCAUAGAAUUUCUCUUAGCACUUUCCGAAUAAAAUCUAAAUUGACAGAAACCGUUAUU
Molecule: non-coding RNA, 935 nt
Organism: Cinara cedri
Lineage: Eukaryota; Metazoa; Arthropoda; Insecta; Hemiptera; Aphididae
Source: the annotation of a GenBank genome assembly